This 253-nucleotide ribosomal RNA is filed under the name uncultured bacterium. Its description in RNAcentral is "partial 16S ribosomal RNA". It matches the Rfam family "Bacterial small subunit ribosomal RNA", at positions 524 to 776 of the family's 1533-position model. The record is from RNAcentral.
GACGAACCGAGCGAACGUUGUUCGGAAUCACUGGGCUUAAAGGGCGCGUAGGCGGGCUGUCAAGUCUGGGGUGAAAUCCCGCGGCUCAACCGUGGAACUGCCUCAGAUACUGACGGUCUCGAGAGAGGUAGGGGCGAGCGGAACUGAUGGUGGAGCGGUGAAAUGCGUUGAUAUCAUCAGGAACUCCGGUGGCGAAGGCGGCUCGCUGGACCUCUUCUGACGCUGAGGCGCGAAAGCCAGGGGAGCAAACGGG